CAACACCCGAAGUCGGUGAGGUAACCGCAAGGAGCCAGCCGCCGAAGGUGGGGUAGAUGAUUGGGGUGAAGUCGUAACAAGGUAGCCGUAUCGGAAGGUGCGGCUGGAUCACCUCCUUUCUAUGGAGA
RNAcentral lists this ribosomal RNA (128 nucleotides) under Paenibacillus timonensis. RNAcentral describes it as "partial 16S ribosomal RNA". It matches the Rfam family "Bacterial small subunit ribosomal RNA", at positions 1415 to 1533 of the family's 1533-position model. The record is from RNAcentral. Lineage: Bacteria; Bacillati; Bacillota; Bacilli; Caryophanales; Paenibacillaceae.